This 81-nucleotide non-coding RNA is filed under the name Chloropicon laureae. The record is from RNAcentral. Lineage: Eukaryota; Viridiplantae; Chlorophyta; Chloropicophyceae; Chloropicales; Chloropicaceae.
AGCUGGGCGUGCCCGUGCCGGCGGCGACUGCGACGGCGACCCGCAACGUGUCUGGCAACGGGUAUCGCCACGGCGGCGGGC